Molecule: long non-coding RNA, 4778 nt
Organism: Acanthaster planci (crown-of-thorns starfish)
Lineage: Eukaryota; Metazoa; Echinodermata; Asteroidea; Valvatida; Acanthasteridae
Gene: rnf11
Source: RefSeq, a predicted model, not a curated record
CGAUGUCUUACACUGUGCCAAUAGAUUGAAAACUACAUCAUGUGCAAAAGACAUUCUUACCAAAUCAAUUCUUUAUUUGUAUUUCUUUAUCUUUUUUGUCUUGAAUUUUUAAUGCAGCACGCUACAUACAGUCCCUCAGUAUCAGUCAGCAGAAAACUUUUUGGUGUUCUGGGUUUGAACCUUCUUUGUCUUCAAUAAUAACUGUGGCAUUUUCCUGCUCAACUCGUAGGAUGGUUAGUGUGGUUAAUGUUAUGCAGUAUCACAAAGUACACAGACUAUCACAGAUUGCCACGAACUGUUGCAGAGUGUUGCAGACACUGAACAUCACAGCCUACAAAGAGAUUCUGCCGCUACAACUUAAACAAGGAAAAUCUGUAAAUAUCAGUGUUAUUUAUUACAUCAACAAAAAUCAGAGUGCUGUAAACACACUACUUUUCACUUGGGGGUCUGUAUGCGUGUUUUGUUUCUUUAUUUUUUUGUUGUUUUGCUCUGUUUUUUUUUUAAUCCCCGGUUUCAUUUGCAAUAACUUGCAUACAAAAGUAACAUAAUGCAAUUCCUAUUUCUUCUUGCGGUAGUAUCCUGACCACUAAUAAGAAAUAGUACAUGAAUUGUUUGAUGUACCAGUAAACCAGUCCUUGCUAGGGGUGCAUUCCACUCAAGCAAACAAUGCCAACGUUGCGUGUUUUACGCACACAUUUUUAAACCGGAACACUUUAGGCAUCAAGUACAUAGGCAUUGUAAGCAAACCUUGGCAAACACUCUGGAAGGGGUGUUAAGAAAUGUUAUUUAACUUUCAAAAUGGAUGAACAAAAGUGAUAGUUAUAACUCGUCAAUCGGGCCUGAAACUCAACCUGAAUGAAGUGUGGCAAAUCAAGUUAUAGAUGAAAGAAAGAAAUCUAUAAUUCAGCUUGAUUAUAAAAUUUUUAUGGUCUGAGAAAAUAGUUGUCUUUCUUUAGCAGACCACAUUUUUUCCCACAUAACUCACACAAGAUCCAACAAUCUUUGUUUUCAACUUCCGUGUUGGCUAAAACUAUUAAUUUCCCAAUUAGAUGCGAAACCAAUCAGGAAUAUUAGGCAGUCGUCAAGUGUCAUAAAUAUUUCAAACUGCUGGCUGCUUGAAGUAAAAGAAUGCUGUCUUCUUCCAUAUUUACAAACUGCGGUGAACGCACAUACAGUGUUUGAAAAUGGUGCAUUCUAGUCCAAACUGUAAGCAUGACACACACCUUUCAAAUGUUUGCCCAAACACUAGUGUAAGUGGAACACACCCCUGAACUCAAGACAACACUACUAGUUGUAACAAAUGUGAGAUAUGGCCGCUUACAUUGUAUGAGUCCAUCGUCAGCGUUUAGCGUUUCAGAAUCACUGCCUGGAUACAAGGAAAAAACCUCGUUAACACUGAAAAUUGUAAGCUGGUACCCAGCUCCUCACCAUGUAAUAGUUUGGGACUUCUCACUGGGCUAGUCUAAAAACGAGAGCAGUUUACACAGCAAGAAGUUGUUGUGUUCCUGGCAAUGAGAGCAAUGGCUGCAUCCACAACUCAUGUUACAGUGACUGUUGGAAACAAUAUGCCCCUAUGGAAGCCGUCUAGCUUGUGGCUUGCAGUCGCUUCCCAUAUACAUGUGUGAUACUCGUAGCCAUAGCCGCUUGUUUGAUACCGCAGUCAAUAUGUCAUAUUUUCACAGCUGAAGGGAUGCAUCACUUUUACAUGAGUUCACUCUCAUCUCAUUUAUUGCAUUCAAAAGAUUCCUUUUUUUCCCUAGACGCACAGAGACAGAAAAGAAUUCCCUGGCGUUGUUGUGUGUAAGCUUUAUCGCGAAUAAACACAGUAACAUGGGUUCUAAGUAAAACUUUUAUGCUUUUAAUCAAUUGUGCAUUGUACGCAGAUAACUAUUUGCCAUAGUAUUUAUUAUUUAAAAAAAGUAAAGUUUAGUCCAGGUUUUGUUGCAAAGUUAAGAACAGCCGGAGAUGAGUUUCCUUGAAACAACAUUGUGGAAGUUUCCAUUGAAAUUAUCUGCAUGUUUGAUUGUAUAAGAUGUACCAAGGAGAUCUUGAUAAAGAAAUAAUGAAGCAAAUAUUUAGCUGUAUUCAGUAAAAAGCGGUGAUUGUACUUGCACCUGUAAACACUGACUGGAAGAAAAAAAAAGUGGCACAUUCAAACAGAUCUGUCUCAACUUACAGUAACAAGGAUAAUAGUAAAAGAAAAAAAUGGAGUAAGACUGCAGAAUCAUCCAUUUCUUACCAUAAGGCCAAAACAAAAGUUGUCUCUGGUCAGACUGAUGUCCUGGAAAUGAUGCGGCGACCCGGCUUCUCCCCCCCCCCCAGGGUUGGAGUGUAUUGAGUCAGAGUAAAGAUUGUCAAGUCAUGCGACUAGACCAGCUUUAUUAUGAUUAUAAGCUGAUGACAAACAACUUUGUAUCCAUAGUCUGCUAACAAUGUUCAACAUCAAUUUCAUCGGGAUCUAUCUGCAAAAAUGUGAAGGCAUUGCAGCAAUAGAGGGCGCUAUUGCAGCUCUCGCAGAGAAAAACAAAGAUUGACUAGCAUGCUUGGAUUCAAUGCAGGCGCUGACCUGAGACGGAAGACUUUUUGUGGCCAAACAGUAUUUUUGUCAACAUAUUCUUUGUAACAAACUUGUAAUUCUUAAUUUAAUGUUUAUUCUAAAUAAAAGUAUGAAAAUUUGAUUUAUGAUAGUAUUCCAUCAUGCCAGGUCUUGUUUAUUAGAAACGAUUUGAAGUUCAGCUAGACUUGCAUCUUUCAACCAAUGUAUAUGCCAUGUGUUCAGAUAAAAUGCAACCAACUGUGUCAUGACAUUCACGUCAUAUACCUUAUUUAUGAAUCACUCUGACAAAUCAGUACAUCCACCAUUUUACUGAUACAGGGCACAGUGCUUGUUCUAGUGGACCAAAUUUGCAUGCAACAGCUGGGUACCCCUAACCAGAACCAAUCUUCCAAAGUAAAUUUAGUAGGGUAGCCCGAACACAAAGGAAUUUGAGUUCAAAUUAAAAGGAGUGAACCAGUGGAUCACAGCAAGGUCUUAAUUGGCACAUUGGAAAGGUUCCAAGAAAGCGUUUUGCAGAGGUGAAAUUCAGUUUUAUUAAUUUAUUUGUUAAUUCGUAAAAAAUGUCGCAAUUACUUAAGACGGAUAUUCUGCUCUAUGGAAAUCAGAAAAUCAUGGAACAGGCAUCUGAAUUUAAGGCAACUUUUUUUAAUUAUCACAUAAUUUACUAUAUUUUGUUGGUAUGAUUAUUUGUUUUGUGUGCAUGCACUCAAUUUAAUGAGUGAUUUUUUUAAACAUUAAAUUGAGCAUUUGGUGAGCGAUUUGUGUCACAGAAAGCACAGUUCAACUUGUCAUGUCUCAAAACGAGGUCUUUUGGCCGAAGUGAAAAAGGUCCUUGCAUUCUUAGAAUUCCCAAACUUUUCAUUUUUGUUAAUGUAAAAUUAAUAAAAAAAGGAUCCCAUGUCUGGGCUUAUUUCCACGAAGCACGAAACAUUCGCUUCACAUUUCAACUUGGAUUAUUUUUUAAGACUGCAACAAAUUUAAAUGCAUUUAUAGAUUAUGUAAGGGGAAACUGUAUGGAGUACAUGUAUUUUAAAUAUUUAGGAAUUGUCGAUUCUUUGAUUUAUUUGAUAAACACAAUUAUUUAACAAACAGUAAGUUAACUGGCCUCAGACCCUUCAAAGUAGCCAGUGGUACACCUACCGCUGCUAUGAGCUGAGGUACAAGACCCUAUCCAUUUUAAGAUGACAGAAACCCUUCAAAGUAGCCAGGGGUACCCCUGUACUUGUGCAGAGCUGAGAUACAAGACCUCAUCUGUCAAUUGAUUGACAGAAACCCUUCAAAGUAGCCAGAGGUACCCCUGUACUUACACAGAGCUGAGGUACAAGACCUCAUCUGUUUAUUUUUAGUUAACAAAUAGGCAAAACUUCAACUCAUAUUUCAGGUGGGAAAUGUUUGUCCAAGAUGCUGGACUGAAGUGUUAGCAGUAAAGAUUCUGUGCACUGUGUAGAGGUGCUACCAUUUGUCAAUAAGGAAAUGCUUUAUUCUGCAUGUAGUGAGUGGUUAGCAGAUAUUUUGCUGUCACUUCAACAGAUGUGUGCUGAGCAGAACCAUAAACUGCAUUUCAGUGAUGACACCUGUUCAUUGAUGAAUUGGUGUGUGCGAGGUUCAGUUUUAUGGAACCAUUAACCCUAACCCUCCUCAAUCCUUCACCUGUUGGAGGACUGAGGAGUGUUAGGGUUAACACACAGCUUGACAAACAUUUUAAAAAGAAAACACAAAUCAACAGGGCACCAGUAAUGUCAAUAUCCUACACAUAGCAUUUGGUUGGUAAACUAGAUAUCUUUCCAGUCCCUUUCCUGAAAUGGCUUCUGGUUGCUGAGAUUUUACCAUUUUGAUUAUUAAUUUAUUACAGCCCUCGUUCGGAGACUGAAUACGAUUAUUUCAUUAUAAAUACCUGCUGAAUGUUUUUCAAAAAGAAAUUGUAAUGUAAAUAACACAGCAUAGGUCUACUGUAGUCGCAAAGGAGGGAUAUGUAAAAAUUAAUUUAAAAGUCAAUACCGAUUCAAUUUUAAAAAGUCUGUUGCAUAAGUGACAGCAUGCAGUUUCAUGACAUGUUUACUCACGAAGCUCCCUUGUGUCUCAGUAGUAAUCAUUUUUAUAAAAUAAUUAUCAGAUGAAUUUAUUCAGUGUUGUUGGAAUAAUACAAUUAAAUUGUAUACGAAGAGGUACCAUCCAGUGAAAAAUAAAGUAUUUUACUGUAAAUAAAGAAACAGAAAAUUCA